UAGGGAAUCUUCCACAAUGGACGCAAGUCUGAUGGAGCAACGCCGCGUGAGUGAAGAAGGUUUUCGGACCGUAAAGCUCUGUUGUUGGUGAAGAAGGAUAGAGGUAGUAACUGGCCCUUUAUUUGACGGUAAUCAACCAGAAAGUCACGGCUAACUACGUGCCAGCAGCCGCGGUAAUACGUAGGUGGCAAGCGUUGUCCGGAUUUAUUGGGCGUAAAGCGAGCGCAGGCGGAAGAAUAAGUCUGAUGUGAAAGCCCUCGGCUUAACCGAGGAAUUGCAUCGGAAACUGUUUUUC
This 295-nucleotide ribosomal RNA is filed under the name uncultured bacterium. Its description in RNAcentral is "partial 16S ribosomal RNA". It matches the Rfam family "Bacterial small subunit ribosomal RNA", at positions 355 to 641 of the family's 1533-position model. The record is from RNAcentral.